Molecule: ribosomal RNA, 253 nt
Filed under: uncultured bacterium
Lineage: Bacteria
Description: partial 16S ribosomal RNA
Rfam family: Bacterial small subunit ribosomal RNA
Source: RNAcentral
UACAGAGGUCUCAAGCGUUGUUCGGAUUCAUUGGGCGUAAAGGGUGUGUAGGUGGCGCGCUAAGUCGGGUGUGAAAUUUCGGAGCUUAACUCCGAAACUGCAUUCGAUACUGGCGUGCUUGAGGACUGGAGAGGAGACUGGAAUUCAUGGUGUAGCAGUGAAAUGCGCAGAUAUCAGGAGGAACACCGGUGGCGAAGGCGGGUCUCUGGGCCGAUACUGACGCUGAGGAGCGAAAGCGUGGGGAGCAAACAGG